RNAcentral lists this long non-coding RNA (204 nucleotides) under Elaeis guineensis (African oil palm). RNAcentral describes it as "long non-coding RNA (EGUI_LNC072599)". Lineage: Eukaryota; Viridiplantae; Streptophyta; Magnoliopsida; Arecales; Arecaceae. The record is from RNAcentral.
CCAUUGUUGUGAACUGGCUCAGUCUAGGGGUGAGCCGACUCAAUUUUCAGAACUAAAUGUUUAUGCAUAAAAUCAUUGUAAAGAAGUUUACAAAUUAUAAAAUAUUGACAAAUUGAAAUUGUUUCUGUUGGGUAUAAAGUAUCCUCGGCCGAAGUUCUUGGUGGGAUCGACCCUCGCAAGUCUCUUUCGACUUUCGACUACUGU